This 492-nucleotide ribosomal RNA is filed under the name uncultured bacterium. RNAcentral's name for it is "partial 16S ribosomal RNA". It matches the Rfam family "Bacterial small subunit ribosomal RNA", at positions 29 to 507 of the family's 1533-position model. The record is from RNAcentral.
AGUGAACGCUGGCGGUAGGCCUAACACAUGCAAGUCGAACGGCAGCACAGUAAGAGCUUGCUCUUACGGGUGGCGAGUGGCGCACGGGUGAGGAAUACAUCGGAAUCUACUUUUUCGUGGGGGAUAACGUAGGGAAACUUACGCUAAUACCGCAUACGACCUACGGGUGAAAGCAGGGGAUCUUCGGACCUUGCGCGAUUGAAUGAGCCGAUGUCGGAUUAGCUAGUUGGCGGGGUAAAGGCCCACCAAGGCGACGAUCCGUAGCUGGUCUGAGAGGAUGAUCAGCCACACUGGAGCUGAGACACGGUCCAGACGCCUACGAGAGGCAGCAGUGGGGAAUAUUGGACAAUGGGCGCAAGCCUGAUCCAGCCAUACCGCGUGGGUGAAGAAGGCCUUCGGGUUGUAAAGCCCUUUUGUUGGGAAAGAAAAGCAGCAGGUUAAUACCCCGCUGUUCUGACGGUACCCAAAGAAUAAGCACCGGCUAACUUCGUG